Molecule: ribosomal RNA, 253 nt
Filed under: uncultured bacterium
Lineage: Bacteria
Description: partial 16S ribosomal RNA
Rfam family: Bacterial small subunit ribosomal RNA
Source: RNAcentral
UACGGAGGAUGCAAGCGUUAUCAGGAUUUAUUGGGUUUAAAGGGUGCGUAGGCGGAAUAUUAAGUCAGCGAUGAAAUCCUGCAGCUUAACUGUAGAACUGUCAUUGAUACUGGUAUUCUUGAAUGCAGUUGAGGUAGGCGGAAUGUGUAAUGUAGCGGUGAAAUGCUUAGAUAUUACACAGAACACCGAUUGCGAAGGCAGCUUACUAAACUGUGAUUGACGCUGAGGCACGAAAGCGUGGGGAGCAAACAGG